GGCUAUGGCCAUGCCACCCUGAACAUGCCUGAUCUUGGAAGCUAAGCAGGGUCGGGCCUGGUUAGUACUUGGAUGGGAGACCACCUAGGAGUACCAGGUUCUGUAGGCA
RNAcentral lists this ribosomal RNA (109 nucleotides) under Pteropus alecto (black flying fox). The record is from RNAcentral. Lineage: Eukaryota; Metazoa; Chordata; Mammalia; Chiroptera; Pteropodidae.